AAAAUUUUUCAUCACAUCAAAUUUACGAUACAUGCAUGGAGUAAUAAAUGUAGACGAAAUCAAAAUCUAAUUGCACAGUUUUGUUGUACUUUACGAGACGAAUCUUUUGAGCCUAAUUAGUCAAUGUUUGGACAAUAAUUCACAAAUACAAACGAAAUGUUACAGUUACACAUUUAUAGCAAAAUGCAAAUUUUGCCACUCCCAAAUUGAGAAGUAAACCAGGCCCAAGUCCAGGGCUCAAGCAGCUGGAGCACACCUCGUAACCAGCGAAACGAGCAAAGGAGCACGCGUACAGUUCGUCGCCGGCGGUUGUGGCUUUGGGUCCGUUUGGCAGCGCGGAGGGAGGUCGGGCUAGAGCUAGCUGGUGCAGCCAGCUGUGUUUGCUAGCCUAGUCAGCUUCUUGGACCAGGCAUGCCCGGUGAAAAACGGUCCAUCAGCCUGCAUAGCAUGGAACGCUAAAAUCUAUCGCUCCACGCGAUGCAGGUGGUUGCGGUGACCCCCGGUUCAAUUUUGUUCACGCAACGCUGCAGAACUCGAAGGUCGUUGACCGGAGGCGCGACGAGGCGUGCGAUUUGCGUUGUGCUGCUGUUGUCGAUGGCGUGCAGCAGCGGAUCCGGUUGGAGAUCCUGCACAUGGGUGUGAUGAGGACGGCCUUCCCACUCCUCGGGCCGAUUGUGGAGGGCAGCGCAGCGGCGGCGCACGGGUGCCGCGGACACCCCGCCCCCACUAUGCGCUAGGGGCCCGUCGGCGCCGCCGCGCCUGAGGCCCCCGUCUCCGACUCUCCGUUGCCAGCCAGAAUCCUCCUGCCUCCACCGUCGAUGCACGUGGUUCGUCUCCGCCCCUAAGGUCCCAUCUCCAAGCGGGGGCUUGCAUCCACCGUGGUUCUGCACUUCUGCUUACCAUCCUCAUCGGCACAGAGUGGAGGAGGCGAAGAAAUCAGGGCUGCUUGGCUGCUGCCUGGCUUGGCCUGGAGAUCACAUAUAAAUUCAUGUUUGGGGAUCGAUUAGUAGUGACUUGUUUGGAUUGAUUGAACGAAGCAAGAGCAUUUUGCUCAUGCUCUUUAUGGAAGCAACUUGGAUGCAAGGAAGAAGAUGGAAUGGUGGUAAAGCUACCACAUUUUCAAUGUAAGGUCUGCUUAUCAUGUUGUCCACCUUAAUAAAUAUCAUUCUAGC
This 1172-nucleotide long non-coding RNA is filed under the name Setaria italica (foxtail millet). RNAcentral describes it as "long non-coding RNA (SITA_LNC001724)". The record is from RNAcentral. Lineage: Eukaryota; Viridiplantae; Streptophyta; Magnoliopsida; Poales; Poaceae.